UACGUAGGGGGCAAGCGUUGUCCGGAUUUAUUGGGCGUAAAGAGCGUGUAGGCGGCCAAAUAGGUCGGUUGUGAAAACUGGAGGCUUAACCUCCAGACGUCGACCGAAACCAUCUGGCUAGAGUCCGGAAGAGGAGAAUGGAAUUCCUGGUGUAGCGGUGAAAUGCGCAGAUAUCAGGAAGAACACCCGUGGCGAAGGCGGUUCUCUGGGACGGUACUGACGCUGAGACGCGAAAGCGUGGGGAGCGAACAGG
This 253-nucleotide ribosomal RNA is filed under the name uncultured bacterium. Its description in RNAcentral is "partial 16S ribosomal RNA". It matches the Rfam family "Bacterial small subunit ribosomal RNA", at positions 524 to 776 of the family's 1533-position model. The record is from RNAcentral.